This 440-nucleotide ribosomal RNA is filed under the name uncultured bacterium. RNAcentral describes it as "partial 16S ribosomal RNA". It matches the Rfam family "Bacterial small subunit ribosomal RNA", at positions 338 to 795 of the family's 1533-position model. The record is from RNAcentral.
CCUACGGGAGGCUGCAGUAGGGAAUAUUGCUCAAUGGGGGAAACCCUGAAGCAGCAACGCAGCGUGGAGGAUGAAGGUUUUCGGAUUGUAAACUCCUUUUGUUAGAGAAGAUAAUGACGGUAUCUAACGAAUAAGCACCGGCUAACUCCGUGCCAGCAGCCGCGGUACUACGGAGGGUGCAAGCGUUACUCGGAAUAACUGGGCGUAAAGAGGGCGUAGGCGGGAUAGCAAGUCAGAUGUGAAAUCCUAUGGCUUAACCAUAGAACUGCAUUUGAAACUGGUAUUCUAGAGUAUGGGAGAGGUAGGUGGAAUUCGUGGUGUAGCGGUAAAAUGCGUAGAGAUCAAGAGGAAUACUCAUUGCGAAGGCGACCUGCUAGACCAUAACUGACGCUGAUGCGCGAAAGCGUGGGGAGCAAACAGGAUUAGAUACCCUAGUAGUC